Molecule: ribosomal RNA, 207 nt
Filed under: uncultured bacterium
Lineage: Bacteria
Description: partial 16S ribosomal RNA
Rfam family: Bacterial small subunit ribosomal RNA
Source: RNAcentral
CGCGUAGGUGGUUAGAUCAGUCGGAUGUGAAAGCCCAGGGCUUAACCUUGGAAUUGCAUUCGAUACUGUCUGACUAGAGUAUGGUAGAGGGAAGCGGAAUUUCCGGUGUAGCGGUGAAAUGCGUAGAUAUCGGAAAGAACAUCAGUGGCGAAGGCGGCUUCCUGGACUAAUACUGACACUGAGGUGCGAAAGCGUGGGGAGCAAACA